UACGAGAGUGGCAAGCGUUACCCGGAAUUAUUGGGCGUAAAGCGUCCGCAGGCUGUUAAAUAAGUCGGUUGUUAAAUGUACGGGCUCAACCCGUACGCCGCGAUCGAAACUGUUUAACUUGAGUUAAGAAGAGGUAGAUGGAAUUCUUGGUGUAGUAGUAAAAUGCGUUAAUAUCAAGAGGAACACCAACGGCGAAGGCAGUCUACUGGUCUUAUACUGACGCUCAUGGACGAAAGCGUGGGGAGCGAAUGGG
This 253-nucleotide unclassified non-coding RNA is filed under the name uncultured bacterium. Its description in RNAcentral is "contains 16S-23S intergenic spacer region". It matches the Rfam family "Bacterial small subunit ribosomal RNA", at positions 524 to 776 of the family's 1533-position model. The record is from RNAcentral.